RNAcentral lists this ribosomal RNA (347 nucleotides) under Nipponacmea radula. Its description in RNAcentral is "partial 12S ribosomal RNA". Lineage: Eukaryota; Metazoa; Mollusca; Gastropoda; Lottiidae. The record is from RNAcentral.
GCACUAUACUUACCAGGGGAACCUGGCCCUUAAUUCGAUAGUCCACGAACAUCUUACCUUUCCUUGUUUAAACAUGCCCCUAGGGGGCAUGUUUCUAUCAGUUUGCAUACCGCCGUUUUCAGCCUGUGUCGUGAGAUAAAAGAAAUAGGCUAUCCAGCAUUGUGAGCGUGGCCACCUUAAGGCGACCUCAUUGCUAAGAAUUCAGGUAAACGUGUAGCCAAUGGAAAGGGGGUGCUGGGUUACAAUUGAAGCUUGAAAUGGAAGGUGGCCUGAAUGGGCCAUCCGAAAGAGUACUUGGAAGUAAUGGCUUUGGGCAAUGAAGCCGUGAAUCUCGCUCUGGUGCGUGU